CUGAAAAGUCAGAUUAGCCCAGCAGUGAGGAGGUAAAGGGCAUUGGAAGGGGGUGGGAGGCUCAGGUGAUGCUUGUGAUCACCUGGGGAGGACUCAGAGCCUGCUGGGGCUCAUAGGGUGAACGCAGGAGGCGUGCUGGUUCUUUGCAGCUAGAGGAGGAACUUCUUCACCCCAAGGCUUGAAGGUAGUAGGAGCCUGCGAAGAGCUUUCUGAGGAGUCCUGGUCGUCCUGACCAUAGUUUGUGGAUCAGAACCAAGUGUCAGGUGGGCCAGGGGAUUGGUGUCAAAAUCAGAAGUCUGAAUCUGGUCUGUGAACUUGGGAGCAUCUCAAGCUAAAGGAUACAGUACUCUCAAGUGAAGUGAGAAAAUCGUGUCUGUGACAAAUGCUAGCUGGUGGCAGCUGCAGGAGCAGAGGAUUUCAGCCCUCCCACGUUCAGCACCUGGGACACACGUGGCAGAAUGGUGCCUGCAAGAAGAGGAGAUUUUCUGUGGUAUUAAUUACAGUGAUACUAGGUGGCCAUGAAGACUGCAACAUCCACAUCAGUAUCAAUUCAUCGAGUCACAAAGUAAAAAAACCACAACUGACUUUUGAUAAACUUUUGUAAGAAUGAAAUUUCUUCUGCCAGUGAUUAUCUCGAAGGUCCACAUGUAACAACUGAGUUAAACUGACGGAAACGAUCUCUCUGAUUUGUGUGUACCUACUGCUGUUAAAGUCGUGCCACAGCUCAUCAGUGAUCAUUCCUCUUUCUCAGAAAAGAAAAAUAAAUCAAGUCCUUAACCUGGAGAGGGGGAAGGA
Molecule: long non-coding RNA, 795 nt
Filed under: Anser brachyrhynchus (Pink-footed goose)
Lineage: Eukaryota; Metazoa; Chordata; Aves; Anseriformes; Anatidae
Description: lncRNA (ENSABRG00000016941.1)
Source: RNAcentral